Non-coding RNA from Doryrhamphus excisus (bluestripe pipefish), 559 nucleotides. NCBI's taxonomy places the organism in Eukaryota, Metazoa, Chordata, Actinopteri, Syngnathiformes, Syngnathidae. The record is from RefSeq and is a predicted model, not a curated record.
UAUCACAUAUUUAUACAUUAAUUCUUGAUUAGGUUAAGUGUUUUUUGUUAUUAUUAUUUUCAAAUAUGUACAGUCUUGGCCAAAAUAUUGGUAUGCCAAAUAUAUUUUGGGCCAUAGCUGUGUAAAUGAUUAUUAAAUAUAUUUGUAUUCCACACAGGCAUGGUGAAAAACAUUGGCGUCUUUGGCAUGCCAAUAUUGUUUACCAUGAAGAUGACUGUUGAAGGGACACAAAGGAUUUCAGUCCCCAGCCCAGGUGAGGAAAAAAGGUUGAGAAUAAGAAUAUAACAGCGCAUAUGAACCUUCCAGUUGAGCUGUCACGGCACCAAAUAGAGGAAGUGGAGCAGAGGGUCAGAAGUCCUCAGCACCUGUACAGAAGAUUAAUGACCACCCACGGAGCCAAGGGAAGGAACGACAGACAGAAACAUUUUAGGACCUUGCAAACAAGCCACGACCUCGCCAACCAAAACAAAGCGGAUCAACGAGACGCUGGAGGAGGAGGAGGAGGGGUCGGAUAGCUCCCGUUUUGGCUCCUUCUUCUUCCUGUUUAAUCAACAGCCCC